GAUGUACUCCCUUCGUCCGGAAUUACUUGUCAUAGUAAUAGAUGUAUCAAGAUAUAUUUUAGUUAUAGAUACAUUCAUUUCUUUUUAUUUUAGUGACAAGUAAUUCCGGACGGAGGGAGUAUUUU
RNAcentral lists this microRNA precursor (125 nucleotides) under Hordeum vulgare. RNAcentral's name for it is "microRNA MIR1122". It matches the Rfam family "MIR1120/MIR1122 microRNA precursor family". Lineage: Eukaryota; Viridiplantae; Streptophyta; Magnoliopsida; Poales; Poaceae. The record is from RNAcentral.